This 73-nucleotide transfer RNA is filed under the name Flexistipes sinusarabici. RNAcentral's name for it is "tRNA-Lys". It matches the Rfam family "tRNA". From Rfam's summary of the family: Transfer RNA (tRNA) molecules are approximately 80 nucleotides in length. Lineage: Bacteria; Pseudomonadati; Deferribacterota; Deferribacteres; Deferribacterales; Flexistipitaceae. The record is from RNAcentral. RNAcentral also lists the same sequence under 2 other names.
GAGCCGUUAGCUCAGUUGGUAGAGCAGCUGCCUUUUAAGCAGCGGGUCGUAGGUUCGAUCCCUACACGGCUCA